RNAcentral lists this unclassified non-coding RNA (292 nucleotides) under fungal sp. RNAcentral describes it as "partial internal transcribed spacer region". The stretch from base 1 to 46 matches the Rfam family "Eukaryotic small subunit ribosomal RNA", at positions 1786 to 1831 of the family's 1831-position model. The record is from RNAcentral. Lineage: Eukaryota; Fungi.
AAGUCGUAACAAGGUAACCGUAGGUGAACCUGCGGUUGGAUCAUCCGAGAGAGUGUUACACGCAGUGUUACACGCAGUGUGUCGCUCGUUAAUAGUUAGUGACUUGUAUCUUUUCUCGUUCUUUUCGGUGAAUCACAGAAAAGAGAGAGAGAAGCACGUCACUUGCAAACACCAAUUCCAGCGAAACGCACAAUUCCUCUGAAAAAGAGAGAGAAGCACCAAUUGAAAUCACACUAAAACAUGACAAAGAAAGAAACAGAAAUAACUUUUGACAAUGGAUCUCUUGGUUCUC